GAACGCACAUUGCGCCCCUUGGUAUUCCGGGGGGCAUGCCUGUUCGAGCGUCAUUUCAACCCUCAAGCACUGCUUGGCAUUGAGCCCUAUGUCAGAAAUGGCAGGCUCUAAAAUCAGUGGCGGCGCCGCUGGGUCCUGAACGUAGUAAUAUCUCUCGUUACAGGCUCUCAGUGUGCUUCUGCCAAAACCCCAAAUUUUUUUAUGGUUGACCUCGGAUCAGGUAGGGAUACCCGCUGAACUUAAG
This 244-nucleotide unclassified non-coding RNA is filed under the name uncultured Sclerotiniaceae. Its description in RNAcentral is "sequence contains 5.8S rRNA gene". The stretch from base 1 to 53 matches the Rfam family "5.8S ribosomal RNA", at positions 102 to 154 of the family's 154-position model. Lineage: Eukaryota; Fungi; Ascomycota; Leotiomycetes; Helotiales; Sclerotiniaceae. The record is from RNAcentral.